CCUCAAGUCAGUCUAGCAGUCUAGAGA
Molecule: non-coding RNA, 27 nt
Filed under: Bombyx mori (domestic silkworm)
Lineage: Eukaryota; Metazoa; Arthropoda; Insecta; Lepidoptera; Bombycidae
Source: RNAcentral